AUGGGCUGAUUUUGGUUUCUAGCAGGAGAAUAAGUUGACCAGCAUUCACUCAUUAGCAAGAUGGAUCAUGCAAGCAGACUAUGAUUUCAAAAGUCCUCAGAGUAUCUGCAAAGAGAUCCUUUUGCUGCAAAUCCUCUGUUUCGAAGUGCAAACUUUGCAUCCCACAGUGGUCCAGGCACGAUGCACGUUUGUUCCUCUGUAUGUUACAGGUCUGCAAACUGACGUGAAGAAAAUCCAGUCAAGGCAAGUGAUUGAGUUUGGUGUCCUUUCUCUGACAGCAGACAGUGAGAUGGACUCUAGGAAACGUAGAGCAAGAUAACGGGGCCUGAGGAUGAAUCCCAGUACUGUCUGAAGAAAGGAUGUUUAAGGGAUAACCCACUUCACAGAUGCAAGGAAGGGGAGCAGCGUUUAGAAGGAAUUGAAGCAAAGCAGAAGAGAAAGCUGCUGAAAGCAAAAAUAUUGUCCCAGAAAGUGUUUUAAUGGAUUCAAUUCUCACCCUCAUUCUUCUUGAGCAUUCAUUCGCUGUUCAAUGUGUGAGUACAAAAAAUGUAUUUUUCUUAUUCUGACAUACAUUUCCAAAGCAGCCCUGUUCCUUGAGUGCUGGAUGCUAUUGGAGAAACUCAUAGAAUCAUAGAACGGCCUAGGCUGGAAACAUCCUCAAAGGUCAUCCAGUCCCAACCCGGGGCCAUGGGCAGGAUUACCACCUUCCAGAUCAGGCAGCCCAGGGCCCCAUCCAACCUGGCCUUGAGCACCUCCAGAGAUGGAGCACCCACAGCUUCUCUGGGCUUUUCAUCCGGCUUCUCAUUUUGCAAUGAGAGAAUUUUUCACCCUAGAUUUUGUCCACGAGUUCCAGAGCAGAUGUUUUCUUAAAGAGCCAACAAAGAAGCCAUCACACACCACUUCCACAGUCAUCUCAGCCAAGAGUUACGACUUCAUCUUUGUGUAAACAGUGUCAAUUGGACCUCUAUUAUACUCCUUCUCCUCUCUGACCAUGUGAAAACAAAAUGCUGACAGCAAAAUUCUGCUCUUUACAACACAUACAACAAAAAUGGCCAGAAAUUAAUGAUGGCUAUCUGGCUUAAUGCACAAACCCAACAUGUUCGAAGCUGCUUCUUGUAUAUUUUGGCCUUGAUUUUGCAAACAAAACGCCAGCAAUAGCCAAGUGAAAACAGAGCAAACAGAGCAGAAAAGGCUGUCUCACCCUUGGUGACAGUCGGUCAUUGGACUGGCUUCUUGCACAAUGAGGGAUUCUUGCAGCGUGGCUGCCAACCCCAUCCAUGUCAGACCUUUCCCUCCCUGAUCAAAGGCUUUGGCUGAUGUAAGUCAUGAUGUUUCACUGAACCUGAGUGACCGAGGAGAGAAAGGACAAGAGGUGUUUUAUCCAGGCUGGGACCUGAUCUCCAGCAGAGGGGAAACAUUCACCCAGCUGGGAGGAGGAGAUGUUUAUUAUUAGGCCGUGUAAAAGUUAGCUACAAUACAGAGCCAAUUCACAGGAGCAAUAAUUCCUGGUCAAAACCUUAGCCAGUUUAGAUUGAUUAUGUAUUUUUUUUAUGCUGUCUUACAUCAGUAGGAGGAUCUAAACAUUUUGGUUUGUUGUAAGAUGUUGGAGAAACUCAGUUCAACACGUGCCAUACCCAAGGGUCUCCUUAAAAUAGCAACAUUACAAAGGCUUCUUUUAGUGCUGCAUUCCUUCUGGGUUCAUUAUACACACAUUCAUGGAUACAAUCUGAAAGAAAAACAAAACAAAACUUAGAUGUCCAAAUUACCUUUGCCUUGACAUAAAGAGAUGCCUGGAACAGAUCUGCUGGAGAAUGGAGUCCUGUGCCCCCCAGUGGGAAGAGACCGGACAAACAACAGCAGACGUCUGGAUGUGCAGAAGAGCUCAUUCCCCUCUCAAAGGUCUGCAGAGAGGGGGAAGAGUUGCCUUGUAACCCUGGCUGAGAGAAUACACAAUGUCUGGGGAUGAAUAGAGAUAAUAAAAGCAUUUUCCUGGGGCACUGCCCCCCAAAAAUGAGCAAACUCAGCUGUUUUGUGUUUGACCUCGCAUAAAUCCGGAUUUCCAAUGGCGGUAGGACCUAAAAGCGGAGGGCUUGAUCCUCAGCACCCAAUGAGUCAGGCAGAGAGAGAGAUCCUUUUCAUGUGGGGAAAGAACUGGGCAGUUUGCUUGGGAAGAGAAGUGCUGGAAUGAUGCAAAUUGGGAAAUUCUCACAUGCUUUCCUCUGGUGCCUGACUGAGAGCCCCAGCCAUGGUUUAGGCCUUAAGUUGAUUCAGGGGAGGUUCAGAUUGGAUGUUAGGAAACAUUUCUUCUCCAAAAGAGUGGCAAUGCAGUGGCACAGCUGCCCAGGGAGGUGGUGGGGUCACCAGCCCUGGAGGUGUUCCUGAACCAUGGAGAUGUGGCACUGAGGGAUGUGGGCAAUGGGCAUGGUGGGGUGGGUUGGGGUUGGUGAUCUCAGAGGUCUUUUCCAAACCUUAAUGAUUCCAUGAUUGUGUGAUUCACUGUGUCUUUAGAGGGCCCUCAGUCAUACAGUCCAACUGCUCAGCUCCCACAAGCCUGCUCUGCCCACCUUAUCUGGCCUCACUCCUAUCUUGCACUGAGUGCCAUGAGAGCUGGGUUACAUCCUCUACUUGAAGAAACUCCUCUUUAGAGCUGCAUUUGAUGCUCAUGACUCCAAAGACCUGCAGCCCUUGCAACUCCUAUCUUCCCAGAAAGGAGCAACGAAGCAAACGCAGACUGCUGCAAUUGGAUUUGGGGAAUCCUGUGGUGUUGGGUUUACAUUGUUUGAAGAUAACAGGGAUCCAGAAUAACAUCUGCCAUAUUCUUGGUGGCCAUAAGAGUGGGGCUCUGCUGGGCCAACUUUGAGCUGGGGUUGGAGGGAGGGAAAAGUUUCCUUCUUGCACAGCUUCAGCAGUUCAGCAGUAUCUGCCCUUAAUCAUUAAAUGAUUGGAUGGAGAAAUUACCAGCAUAAAGGCAUCCCUGGCCCAGUCCCAGCACACGAGGGACUGGAUACAAAGGGGUGACCAAAGUCUGGAUGUCUCUUAAACCAGAUCAGAUCCUGCUUUAUUUGCAUCACCACCCAGUAGCAGCAGGAGGUGGGGAGCAAUGCAAUAUAUGAGGCGUUCUCUUGCUCCUUCCCUCUUUCCCACCCAAAAAAUAAUAAUAAAUUUAAAAAAAACAGCAAAAGAGAUGCUAUGGGACUCAUGAAACUUUGCAGCAGAGUUAUUUUUCUUCCCCCCCUUCUUCUCAGACAGACUAUAGAGCCUCGGGUACACAUUUGCUCAGUUGCCUAUACUUAAACACGCACAGACGCUCAGCUCCCACCAGGGAUGGAGGCUGUCCCACCCCUUUGGUUGAGCAGAUUGGAGAGAAGUGAGCCAACAGCCCCCCCAAAAUGAAAUGAAAUGAAAUAAAGCAGCAGAGGUGGAAAUACCUUCCCCAGGAUUCCCCCAGGAUCCCCUCUCAGGAACCCCCUUUUUGAGCCCACCUCCCUCAAUAAAUGUAUUUUUAAUCCCUAUGUGGGACAUAAAUUUGGGAACAGCGUGGAUGAGGGGCAGUGGGACAGACUGAUGGCGUUGGGGUGGAUGGGGAGGGGGGGUUGGCUUCGUGGCUUUUAAAUCCUUUCUCCCAACCCUUCGCGUGGGUGCCCCCUUCAGCACGCAUUGCCCAACCGGAGCGCAGGGGGUGGGACGGGGGGUGGGAUGCGGUGCGGUGCGGUGCGGUGGGAGGGCUGCGGGAUGACCCCGUGCCUCGCAGCCCGUCGGUCAAAGGCUGAGUACGGCUGAUCAAUGGGGGCCAACCCCUGGGGGGGGGAAGGGGGAGGGGGGCUUUUAUACCUACCCUUCUCCCCCCGCGGUGCGGAGAUCUGUCGGGGCUGGCAGGGAGAGGCAGAGGGCUCGCAAGGAGGAGGAGGAG
This 3910-nucleotide long non-coding RNA is filed under the name Gallus gallus (chicken). RNAcentral's name for it is "lncRNA (ENSGALG00010027585.1)". Lineage: Eukaryota; Metazoa; Chordata; Aves; Galliformes; Phasianidae. The record is from RNAcentral.